UGGGGAAUUUUGGACAAUGGGGGCAACCCUGAUCCAGCAAUGCCGCGUGAGUGAAGAAGGCCUUCGGGUUGUAAAGCUCUUUUAAUGAUGAAGAUGAUGACGGUAAUCAUAGAAUAAGCCCCGGCAAACUUCGUGCCAGCAGCCGCGGUAAUACGAAGGGGGCUAGCGUUAUUCGGAAUCACUGGGCGUAAAGCGCAAGUAGGCUGUUAGGUAAGUCAGAUGUGAAAUCCUAGGUUUCAAGCCGAGAACUGCAUUUGAUACUGCUUAACUUGAGUACAGAAGAGGAUGAUGGAAUUCCAAGUGUAGGAGUGAAAUCCGUAGAUAUUUGGAGGAACACCAGAGGCGAAGGCGUUCAUCUGGUCUGUAACUGACGCUGAGUUGCGAAAGUGUGGGGAGCAAACAGG
Molecule: ribosomal RNA, 404 nt
Filed under: uncultured bacterium
Lineage: Bacteria
Description: bacterial SSU rRNA
Rfam family: Bacterial small subunit ribosomal RNA
Source: RNAcentral